RNAcentral lists this non-coding RNA (31 nucleotides) under Rattus norvegicus (Norway rat). The record is from RNAcentral. Lineage: Eukaryota; Metazoa; Chordata; Mammalia; Rodentia; Muridae.
UCACCCUCAAUAGACCAUGGUUCCUUUAGGU